GAUAACCACUCUCUGUCUCACGGGGAACAGAAUGCUGAGGUGGAAACUGAUUGCAGCCUGGGCCCGCCAUUGCCCAUAGCAAACUUCAGAAAUGAAGGGCAUCUCAUUUUGUUUGCUAUUGUUUUAUUUUCAACAAAAAAGGCUCUGUUUCUGGUGAAGUUGGUUUCAAACGACCUUGGAACUCAUUGUCACUCGCUCCUCAGAGCCUGAGGAUUAAGCAGACUGGAAGACUUAGGACUUAGGACGGGGAGAAAUUCGGCCUCCCCUCUUCCUCCAAUACUGCUCGGACUUCCUCAGAUGGAAAGCGGGAAGGGGAGUCUGGGAAAAGUGGUCACCUAAGGCAGUGUGGUUCCAAGCCAAAACAUCUGACAAAAGCCACAUUAAGGAAGGAGGGGUGUACUGAGAGGCUGCAGUCCGUCGUGGCGGGGAAGCUAUGGCAGCAGGAGCAAGAAAAUGGCCCCCAAAACUCACGCAGUAAUAUAUGGAAUGGCUGACUCUAUUUCUAUGAAAUGCCCAUGAUAGACAAAUCCACACAGAGAGAGAAGCCAGGUGGGUGAACCUAGGAAUGGGGGAGCCAGGAGUGGAGUAAACCAGGAUGGGCGAGCCUUUCCUGGUAGCUGAGGAGAGGGUCCUAAAGUUGUCUGUGGUGAUGGCUGCCCCCCUAUGAAUACACCGAGAGCCUCUGAGUUGCAUUCCCUAAGGUAGCUUCCGGGGGUGUGAGCAGCGAUUGAGGUGCAUCCUUAGCUGCCCCAAUGACUUAGCAAUGACUGAUCGAUCAAGGAUUGGAUGGCUUGAGUGUUUGAUUGAUCUUGGCUGGGGGAGUUUGUGUGUCUGAGCACCUGAAGAGAUGGCUCAGAGGCGUGAUAUACAGUGACUACACAUGUAUUAUGAUGACUUGAGGCCCUCUUUGAAAUGCACAGUAAGUAAUUUCUCCAUGCCGUCUUUCAUCGGGCUAGAUGCUGAGGAAUGCCAGUCCUUUCUUUUAGGCAAAAGCAAGUCACCAUCAAAGGUCUGAAUAAAACAGAGUGUGUGACUAUUACUAUUA
RNAcentral lists this long non-coding RNA (1045 nucleotides) under Mus caroli (Ryukyu mouse). RNAcentral describes it as "lncRNA (MGP_CAROLIEiJ_G0006210.1)". The record is from RNAcentral. Lineage: Eukaryota; Metazoa; Chordata; Mammalia; Rodentia; Muridae.